GUGGAGAGAUGAGGUAGAGGGAUGGCGGGAUGAGGUAGAGGGAUGGCGGGAUGAGGAGAGGGAUGGAGGGAUGAGGUAGAGGGAUGGCGGGAUGAGGUAGAGGGAUGGAGGGAUGAGGUGGAGGGAUGAGGUAGAGGGAUGGAGGGAUGAGGUGGAGGGAUGAGGUAGAGGGAUGUCGGGAUGAGGUGGAGGGAUGAGGUAGAGGGAUGGAGGGAUGAGGUAGAGGGAUGGCGGGAUGAGGUAGAGGGAUGGAGGGAUGAGGUAGAGGGUGAGGAUGAUGUCAUGAUCCUCAGGGUCAUGUCUGUUCAGCCUCAGGAAGGGAGCGGUCGUUUUAGUGUAUUUCAUUAAUAAAGGGAAGGCUGGACAGGCGUCAGACACAUAACAGACACGUCAGACGGGCCUCUCACCUGAC
Long non-coding RNA from Oncorhynchus tshawytscha (Chinook salmon), 412 nucleotides. NCBI's taxonomy places the organism in Eukaryota, Metazoa, Chordata, Actinopteri, Salmoniformes, Salmonidae. The record is from Ensembl.